GCCCGGGUGGCGAAAUUGGUAGACGCACCAGAUUUAGGUUCUGGCGUAGCGAUACGUGGGGGUUCGAGUCCCUUCCCGGGCACCA
RNAcentral lists this transfer RNA (85 nucleotides) under Candidatus Dactylopiibacterium sp. RNAcentral's name for it is "tRNA-Leu". It matches the Rfam family "tRNA". From Rfam's summary of the family: Transfer RNA (tRNA) molecules are approximately 80 nucleotides in length. Their secondary structure includes four short double-helical elements and three loops (D, anti-codon, and T loops). The record is from RNAcentral. Lineage: Bacteria; Pseudomonadati; Pseudomonadota; Betaproteobacteria; Rhodocyclales; Rhodocyclaceae.